UUUUUUUUUUUUUUUUUGCUUGUGUGUUUCUUGGUUUGUGCUUUUCCAACAUUGGCAGUUGAGUCUUUGCUCUUCACAGCUCUUAGCUGAGGAAAAAUGGAUGGAUAUAGAAGGUUUUGUUAGUGAAGUUAGUGAUUGAGAGAUAAGAUGGGCCCUAGCAAAUCAAUGGCUUUAUCUAGUUCCCAUGGUGGUUGCCAGCUUAGAAUUUCAAAUCAAUUUGUUGAUCAUUUAUUUCAUUCUAACUACUGAGAAGUCACAAUGGAUAUUGAUAUAGAUUGUUCAAGAACCAAAAGUGAAACUCUUUUCAUUUUGAACUGUAGAUGAAAAACAUAGCAUUACGAACCUCUUUUCCCAAUGUUCUCUAGAGAGUUGUACUUUUGUGGCAGAGAAAGUUAGAACUCAAAGUUUAAGAUAUGGAAAAGGAGUAUAAUGAGGAUGAGAAUGACCACCAACAGUCAAUGUAUGUCCUGAAUGUACUUUUAUAUCUGAAACUAUUUUCGUACUGCUAGAUUAUGGAUCAUGUACUCAUUGUUUAAAUUCUUGGGAUAUUCAAAGAUUAAGGGUCAGAAUAUUUUGACGAAAGAAAUUGGUUAUUUUCUUUUUUUGGGAACAUUUUUCAUUCAACAAAAACAGGAUCCAUAUUUAGUUAAGUCACAUAGUAAUUAGUAUAUUCUCAAGCUCUGUGGUCCUAAAAAUUGUAUCAUGUUUUAAACCUUAUGGGGUGUUUGGUACAAGGUUAACAAGAGAUAAUUGUUACCUUGUAACUUUUAACCCUCAUUAAAGUUGUUACGAUACUUAAAGAGGUUAGGUUAACUUUUCAUCUCAUUAAUAUUUAUGCCUUUUUAGGGGGUUAAAUGUUAACCUUAAGGGGUCUAGGUUAAUAAUUACCAUCUUUAAAGGUUAAAACUUACAAGGUUAAUAUUUAAUCCUUAAUUUUUUA
This 940-nucleotide unclassified non-coding RNA is filed under the name Hevea brasiliensis (rubber tree). The record is from RNAcentral. Lineage: Eukaryota; Viridiplantae; Streptophyta; Magnoliopsida; Malpighiales; Euphorbiaceae.